This 497-nucleotide ribosomal RNA is filed under the name uncultured bacterium. Its description in RNAcentral is "partial 16S ribosomal RNA". It matches the Rfam family "Bacterial small subunit ribosomal RNA", at positions 28 to 507 of the family's 1533-position model. The record is from RNAcentral.
GAUGAACGCUAGCGGCGUGCCUAAUACAUGCAAGUCGAGCGAACAGACGAGGAGCUUGCUCCUCUGACGUUAGCGGCGGACGGGUGAGUAACACGUGGAUAACCUACCUAUAAGACUGGGAUAACUUCGGGAAACCGGAGCUAAUACCGGAUAAUAUAUUGAACCGCAUGGUUCAAUAGUGAAAGACGGUUUUGCUGUCACUUAUAGAUGGAUCCGCGCCGCAUUAGCUAGUUGGUAAGGUAACGGCUUACCAAGGCAACGAUGCGUAGCCGACCUGAGAGGGUGAUCGGCCACACUGGAACUGAGACACGGUCCAGACUCCUACGGGAGGCAGCAGUAGGGAAUCUUCCGCAAUGGGCGAAAGCCUGACGGAGCAACGCCGCGUGAGUGAUGAAGGUCCUCGGAUCGUAAAACUCUGUUAUUAGGGAAGAACAAAUGUGUAAGUAACUAUGCACGUCUUGACGGUACCUAAUCAGAAAGCCACGGCUAACUACGUG